Molecule: ribosomal RNA, 422 nt
Filed under: uncultured bacterium
Lineage: Bacteria
Description: bacterial SSU rRNA
Rfam family: Bacterial small subunit ribosomal RNA
Source: RNAcentral
AACGAACGCUGGCGGCAUGCCUAACACAUGCAAGUCGAACGAGACCUUCGGGUCUAGUGGCGCACGGGUGCGUAACACGUGGGAAUUUGCCUCGGGGUAUGGAAUAACUCAGGGAAACUUGAGCUAAUACCAUAUAAUGUCUUCGGACCAAAGAUUUAUCGCCCUGAGAUAAGCCCGCGUAGGAUUAGCUAGUUGGUGGGGUAAAGGCUCACCAAGGCGACGAUCCUUAGCUGGUCUGAGAGGAUGAUCAGCCACACUGGGACUGAGACACGGCCCAGACUCCUACGGGAGGCAGCAGUGGGAAUAUUGGACAAUGGGCGAAAGCCUGAUCCAGCAAUGCCGCGUGAGUGAUGAAGGCCUUAGGGUUGUAAAGCUCUUUACCCGAGAUGAUAAUGACAGUAAUCGGGAGAAUAAGACUCCGG